Molecule: long non-coding RNA, 1441 nt
Filed under: Oryctolagus cuniculus (rabbit)
Lineage: Eukaryota; Metazoa; Chordata; Mammalia; Lagomorpha; Leporidae
Description: lncRNA (ENSOCUG00000036888.1)
Source: RNAcentral
CUAUCUGUGUCGGGGCUAGGGGGCGGACGACCCCUAAUUCGGGUUGGGAUUGGGAGGGGGAACACACCAGUGGGGGGGGGUCACGGAGGGUACCUCAGACCGGGAGGGGCGGUACAGGGGGAUGCACACACACAGGUGUGAGGGGGUCACGGGGGGAUGCACACACAGGUGUGGGGGUCACAGGGGGAUGCACACAGGUGUGAGGGGGUCAUGGGGGAUGCACACACACAGGUGUGGGGUCACGGGGGGAUGCACACACGCAGGUGUGGGGGUUCCUGGGGGGAUGCACACACAGGUGUGGACAGGUGUGUGAGGGUUCCAGGGGUGCACACACACAUGCACUUUGCACAGGCGUGCUGUCUGCCCACACUGACACGCGUUCCUCCCUGUGGUGGCAGGGACCAUGACCAUGCUGGGAUAGCCUGGGGCAGGGGCUGGCUCGGUCCUGUGCUCCGUGGGGGUGGCCAGGGUCACGUGGCCCGUGGUGCAGCUGUAGGCACCGUGUGCUCGUGCAGAUGAGGAAAGGUGAGGGCAGCUUGCUAGGUCACGGAAUGGAGUCAGGUUUAUUCUUUCGUUCUGGGGUUGUCCUUCCUGAUCUCGAAGCUGAGGAGUUGUGCACUGAAGGUGGCAGGCACGGCUCUUUGUUGUGUAACAAGAUGUUGACUGCCCCUUGUCAGGCCCUAGAAUUUCUUUUUAAGUUUGUCUGUCUCUGAGAUCCCAAAGUCACGGGGCAAGAGUGGCAGGGACACGCGGGCGUCACAGAGCUGAGCCAGUCCUGAGCUGCACGGGUCAGGCUUUGAUGCCAGCCAGGGCCGCGCUCCUGGUCGCGCCUCUGGGGCCCGGUGACGUCCUUUCUGUCCCUCAUUCACCCUCACCUCUGCCUCUCUCCAGACCUGCUCCUGCAGUGUGCCACAGACAUCACAGACACGCACUCACGUGUCCCUUCCGGGGUCCCACGGGGGAGCCCGCCGCGUGUGGAGGGCACGUACGGUGCGGCACGUGUGCCCCGGAUUCCGCGCACAGGAGGAGUGAGCGGGGCGGGGCAGCGACUGCUGCCGUGACGCGUGAGUCCACGCCUCCUGUCAGCUGCUCGGGUUUCAGGACCUCAGACGUGCGGACGCGGUUCCUGUGGACAGAGCAGCCGUGCACUGCUCUGCCCGCACCAACGCCUCCCUGGGGUGGGCGCCCGCCUGGGACGUGCGCCGGGGCCUGUGUGCCUGGAGCCGUGCUAAGGGAACAGCCACCGCACCCCCGCGCCUUCUCUGCUCCGGUAGUGAACGCCUGUCUCUGCUCCGGUAGUGAACGCCUGUGCCUGCAGUGCUGGGACCGUGACCGCGUUUCGCCCUUGUGCCUGGCUAAGAGCUUUCGGAAGUGUGGUGGACAUUUUUGAUGAUGUUGUAACCUGAAUAAACGCUUCAUGCCCCAAAACUGCCCUGAUUUU